Molecule: ribosomal RNA, 168 nt
Filed under: uncultured rumen bacterium
Lineage: Bacteria
Description: partial 16S ribosomal RNA
Rfam family: Bacterial small subunit ribosomal RNA
Source: RNAcentral
UACGGGAGGCAGCAGUAGGGAAUAUUGCACAAUGGGGGAAACCCUGAUGCAGCGACGCCGCGUGAGUGAUUGAAGCAUUUCGGUGCGUAAAGCUCUAUCAGCAGGGAAGAUAAUGACGGUACCUGACUAAGAAGCCCCGGCUAACUACGUGCCAGCAGCCGCGGUAAU